AAACUGAAGAGUUUGAUCAUGGCUCAGAUUGAACGCUGGCGGCAGGCCUAACACAUGCAAGUCGAGCGGUAACAGAUCUAGCUUGCUAGAUGCUGACGAGCGGCGGACGGGUGAGUAAUGCAUAGGGAUCUGCCUGGUAGUGGGGGAUAGCCCAGAGAAAUUUGGAUUAAUACCGCAUACGCCCUACGGGGGAAAGCAGGGGAUCCGUUCUUUUCGGAGAGUGGACCUUGCGCUAUCAGAUGAACCUAUGUCGGAUUAGCUUGUUGGUGAGGUAAUGGCUCACCAAGGCGACGAUCCGUAGCUGGUCUGAGAGGAUGAUCAGCCACACUGGGACUGAGACACGGCCCAGACUCCUACGGGAGGCAGCAGUGG
Molecule: non-coding RNA, 372 nt
Filed under: Parendozoicomonas haliclonae
Lineage: Bacteria; Pseudomonadati; Pseudomonadota; Gammaproteobacteria; Oceanospirillales; Endozoicomonadaceae
Description: Bacterial small subunit ribosomal RNA
Rfam family: Bacterial small subunit ribosomal RNA
Source: Rfam by way of RNAcentral